UUUUAUAGUCCAUUUUUUUCGCCCUCAACCCUUUUAUAGUCCAUUUCUGUUUUGGGCCUCGGCCUUUUUACAUUCCAUAUACUUUUUGGGCCUUGGCCUUUUCGUUUGUCCCACUGGUCAUCUUUCUAUUUCUCACACUUUCACAAUAAACAAAUGAAAAAUAUUUCAAAUGGCAAGAGAACAUACUAAACUGUUAAAAUGAUAGCCAAUAUUAGCACCAAAUAUGCUGACUACUGUACAACAUACGAGAUUACAGUAUUUACAAUAGUGUUCAUACAACCAGAUAUGCUAGCCACUGUACAACAUAACUAGCACUACUAACUCGCUACUCUUUACUUUGUCGGGCUUCAAGCUUCUUCAAAUUUCUUCAGCCCGGAGCUCCUGUAAAGAGAGGUAACACCACACUUUUAGAGCUAGAUCAAGGCACAAAAUGUUUAUUUGGUUGGCUCAUGCUGCAACAACCACAUAGAAGCAUAAUUAUAAGCACAAAUACACCAGCCAUCUCAGUUCAAGCAAAUGAUCUAUAUUAGCAAAGCAUGAAAAAGGAAGCAGCACAUGGCAGGAAUAUUUACAACAUCUCAGUUGAUGACUUCAAAUAGGAAUAAUGUAUACAAGUAUAAUAGAAAAAUAUGAGAAACUAUCACAGUACAUAAAUGGUAUCGCAGAAUUAUAUAGCUAACUCAAUGACAGAUUAAAAUGUUUUACUCAACAUAUGGAACUCAAAAGAACUUUUCUGGUUAGUCAAGAGCAUCUUAACUGCAGAAAUUAGAUAGUAUGAAGGCAAUAUUCUAAUGAUCAAAACCGAUGAAGCUGGAAACAUAAUAUAAGCAGAAGUCAAUUGUAUCUACUCAUAUUUUGUGUGUCCAAGUAGGUACCGGUGGAAGGGUGUACCUGAAUGUAGGGCGUGAGGAUCUAGAGCGCCCACCUAAACUGGAGCUGUAGUAACCAUGCAGGC
This 955-nucleotide long non-coding RNA is filed under the name Triticum aestivum (bread wheat). RNAcentral's name for it is "long non-coding RNA (TAES_LNC023522)". Lineage: Eukaryota; Viridiplantae; Streptophyta; Magnoliopsida; Poales; Poaceae. The record is from RNAcentral.